RNAcentral lists this long non-coding RNA (509 nucleotides) under Notechis scutatus (mainland tiger snake). RNAcentral's name for it is "lncRNA (ENSNSUG00000002261.1)". Lineage: Eukaryota; Metazoa; Chordata; Lepidosauria; Squamata; Elapidae. The record is from RNAcentral.
CUAUGUUUCAAAAUUUCAGCACUUUUUUUUUUCUUGCCCUAGCAUGUAAGUGCUCCUAAGAUACUGCCAGAUAAUAAUCUUAUAAAAGACAGUGUUCAACCUGUCCUGGGUUCAGACAAAUAUCUGGAAUGUACUGAAGAACCUCCUCCUCCAGCAAUGCCAGUAUAUGAGGACCUCUUCAGUUCACUAUUACCACCGCCUGAAAUAACUGUGAUUCCAAACAACCUCUUGCAGGUUUGAUGUACAAAAUUAAUUUGCACUAAAGUUAGCAUUUUAUUAGCAAAAUUGGAAACGUCCUUUUUUCAAACAUUCUUCUUGUUUAAACUUACUUAGAUUUUAUCCCGGUACAAUCCAAAUAUAAAAGUACCCAGGUCAGCUGCGAAAGGAACUAAAGAAGAAAAUGCUUCACAAUUUGAAGAAAAGCUAUUUCUUUGUACUGAUAACAAAGAAAACAGAAAAUACUCUGGAUGAAAUGAAGACUAAAUCUGAAUUUUUUUCUUCGACUACCA